CCAACAGAAGUGAAUAUUGGAGCUGAGAGGUUUUCCCAAGCUCUUUUCAGCUUGUAUGGAUUCAUUACCUUAAUCUCAGGAGGAACUCACGGAAAUGAGCAGACAUACUCUCCAGUUUUGAUUGGUGACCCAAGACCAAGACAGACUGGGGAACUUCUCAGCAAUGGAAAGUCCAUCUAUCAUCCUCAUCCCCCAAAAUAAAUGUUCUGGGAACCACAGGAGAUAGGAACAAACUUCUUUUGCCUGGAAGGAGAUCUGUAAGACUACAGCCUAGUCUUCUGGUGUUUUCACUCUUGAAAUAUGCAAGCCUCUUUCCUUGGUCUGCACAUAAAAUUAAGUCUUAGUGUGUGUAAUAACAUGUGGGAAAUACAGGCAAGGCAAUCUCACCUUGGUGCCUGGCAAGAGCGUAAAGCAGAUUCUCCUGGAAGCUGUGCUGAGACCCAUGGGAAAUGAGGUGAUUGGUGACAGCCAACAGAGCUUCACUAACAACAAAUCGUGACUAACAAAUUUGGUGACCUUCUCUGCUGAGGUGGCUGGAGGGAAGAAUGGAUGACAUGACCUACCUGGAGGACUUGAGACUCUCUUGCAUGAGAUCCUUGUCUCAAAACUGGAGACAUGGAUUUGAUAGAUGGACCACUCAGUGGAUAAGGAAUCUGCUGGAUGGUCACAUUCAAUAGAGCUUGGUCAGUGUCUUGAUGUCAAAGUGGAAAGCAGCGAUGAUUUAUGUUCCUCAGGGGUUGGUACUGGGACCGGCACUAUUCAUCAUCUUUGUUGGAGACAUGGACAGUGGGACUGACCAUUGUAUGAACUGCACAGGCUACCAGGAGAUGUGCUGGAAUCUCAUCCUUGGAGAUACUCGGAAUCUGACUGGAUGUGGCUUGAGUGCUGCUGUAGCUGCCCCUGCUUGGGCAGUCUUCAAGGGUGCCUUCCAGCCCCAAAGACUCUGUGAUCUAUUCCGUGCUGUAAAGCAGAUCUUCAGUCUCAUUUCUCUUCAGGUUUUUUUCUCUUUUCUUUGAUGAUUUCCAUUGUCAAACUUACAUUUAAACACACGUAGACUAUGCUCAAAUGUAACAUAUCCAGCAAAACUAGGAUGGUAUUUAUCUUCCCAAAUUUUAGAAGUCUGUAGUGGAGCAUGUACUGCAGAGGUGGUUACUGUAGAUGCUCUUUAAAGUAUGUGAGAGAUUUUUUGGAUUAUGUUCACAGGAGUGGUUUUGUUGUUUAACGGAAGAUGAAUAACCCUUUGAAAUCUCUGUUUCUCUCCAUCAGCCAGAAAAGCAGCCAAAGGUGAUUGUCUCAGACAACUCAACCUAUUGGAACAUUUUGCGUUGAUUCAUUAAAGGUUUUUUCCCCAGUGUCUUUUCCCAAAGUUUCAACUAUGAUUUCUCCUUGCCAUUGGUAUUCAAACUUCACACAUUAAAUGAGCCAGUGAGUGUAA
Long non-coding RNA from Parus major (Great Tit), 1435 nucleotides. RefSeq lists it as uncharacterized. The transcript is spliced from 2 exons. NCBI's taxonomy places the organism in Eukaryota, Metazoa, Chordata, Aves, Passeriformes, Paridae. The record is from RefSeq and is a predicted model, not a curated record.